AGAGUUUGAUCCUGGCUCAGAAUCAACGCUGGCGGCGUGCCUAACACAUGCAAGUCGAACGAGAAAGUGGAGCAAUCCAUGAGUAAAGUGGCGACCGGGUGAGUAACACGUGACUAACCUACCCUGAAGUGGGGAAUAACCUCGGGAAACCGGGGCUAAUACCGCAUAACAUCGCGAGCUGUAAACGCUUGUGAUCAAAGGAGCAAUUCGCUUUAGGAGGGGGUCGCGGCUGAUUAGUUAGUUGGUGAGGUAACGGCUCACCAAGACAAAGAUCAGUAUCCGGCCUGAGAGGGCGCACGGACACACUGGAACUGAAACACGGUCCAGACUCCUACGGGAGGCAGCAGUGGGGAAUUUUGCGCAAUGGGGGAAACCCUGACGCAGCAACGCCGCGUGGAGGAUGAAGUCCCUUGGGAUGUAAACUCCUUUCGAUCGGGACGAUUAUGACG
Molecule: ribosomal RNA, 449 nt
Filed under: uncultured soil bacterium
Lineage: Bacteria
Description: bacterial SSU rRNA
Rfam family: Bacterial small subunit ribosomal RNA
Source: RNAcentral